Molecule: ribosomal RNA, 571 nt
Filed under: Diaporthe sp.
Lineage: Eukaryota; Fungi; Ascomycota; Sordariomycetes; Diaporthales; Diaporthaceae
Description: eukaryotic LSU rRNA
Rfam family: 5.8S ribosomal RNA (bases 209-362)
Source: RNAcentral
UCUUCCGGUAACAGUACCUGCGGAGGGAUCAUUGCUGGAACGCGCCCCAGGCGCACCCAGAAACCCUUUGUGAACUUAUACCUUACUGUUGCCUCGGCGCAUGCUGGCCCCCCCGGGGGCCCCUCGGAGACGAGGAGCAGGCACGCCGGCGGCCAAGUUAACUCUUGUUUUUACACUGAAACUCUGAGAAAAAACACAAAUGAAUCAAAACUUUCAACAACGGAUCUCUUGGUUCUGGCAUCGAUGAAGAACGCAGCGAAAUGCGAUAAGUAAUGUGAAUUGCAGAAUUCAGUGAAUCAUCGAAUCUUUGAACGCACAUUGCGCCCUCUGGUAUUCCGGAGGGCAUGCCUGUUCGAGCGUCAUUUCAACCCUCAAGCAUUGCUUGGUGUUGGGGCACUGCCUGUAAAAGGGCAGGCCCUGAAAUCUAGUGGCGAGCUCGCCAGGACCCCGAGCGCAGUAGUUAAACCCUCGCUUUGGAAGGCCCUGGCGGUGCCCUGCCGUUAAACCCCCAACUUUUGAAAAUUUGACCUCGGAUCAGGUAGGAAUACCCGCUGAACUUAAGCAUAUCAAA